GCACCUCAAUUAACAUAAAUAGUCCAUUCCUCAACCAGAUUUUGAAACACAAUCCAUCUUGUAACUAUACAAAAUCAAACACACAGAAAAAUCCUCCUGUCGCCCCUUCAAUCCAAAAUUUCAAGCAUGGGAACCUCGUCUGUUUGCCUAGUUAUUCUCAUUUGUUCCCUUGUUCUCACAGGUGAAUGAACCCUCGAAUUUUCUUACAAUCAUUUCAUUAUUUUUCGACGAAACUUUAUAUUUGAAGAGAUAAUUACGACCAUUGAAAAACUUAUCUAACUGCAGGAAGCAGCAAGGGUAUGGAGGAGGUGAACGAUCAUGACAGGUGCUUGAUAAUUAGGGAGCCGUUAACGAACUGUGCUGAUGCAGCAUGUGACCGCAAGUGCAAAACUGAAAUCUCAGCAACUGCUGUAGGAACUUGUGAUGGCCCAAAUAUGUGCGACUGUAAUCCCUGUCUUCAUUAGUGUCAUUAAUUACAUGCUCUCGAACUUAAUCCUUCUCCUACAGAAAAUUUAGUUCAUUAUCUAAUUAAUUAAGUAAUGUAAUUCGUUUCUAGUUGAUUGAUUGAAAGUAUGCGCUCCUUUCAUUCGUAUUAUCUUUACAUCACCAUCCUCAAAUCAAAUGACAUGUGCAGCGGCGGAGCCAUGAAAUUGGC
RNAcentral lists this long non-coding RNA (655 nucleotides) under Linum usitatissimum (flax). RNAcentral describes it as "long non-coding RNA (LUSI_LNC004620)". The record is from RNAcentral. Lineage: Eukaryota; Viridiplantae; Streptophyta; Magnoliopsida; Malpighiales; Linaceae.